Long non-coding RNA from Helianthus annuus (common sunflower), 1393 nucleotides. RefSeq lists it as uncharacterized. The record is from RefSeq and is a predicted model, not a curated record. The transcript has 7 exons. Lineage: Eukaryota; Viridiplantae; Streptophyta; Magnoliopsida; Asterales; Asteraceae.
UCAUCCCUUGCACGGAUAAAAUGAGUAUAUAUAAACAUUAUUAUAUAAUGUUAUUAUUAUCAAAUAAUUAUUAAUUUAUAAGAAAAACUAAUUAUGUUUUUUCUAUUUUAAGUCGAACUUUUUCCUCUAAAGUUCCUCUAAAUAUAUCUACGAUUGGAAUUUUGGCUCCAUAACCCCAAAGUGAAGUGCCGCCCAAAUAUCCAUUGGAAUUUGCCCUAAUUUACACACUUCAGAGAAUAGGCGAAUCGAUCUGCACACCAUGAAGCCGCCGGCGAUUCGAUCCGCAGACUGUGAAUCAGCGUCGCUUUUCUUCUGGUUCAGGGGGACAAAUUUAAUUUUCUGAAGCAUAAAAGAGAAAGAAGUUCCUCAUUGUUUCACAACAGAUGUCGAACUUUUUCCUCUAAAGUUCCUCUAAAUAUAUCUACGAUUGGAAUUUUGGCUCCAUAACCCCAAAGUGAAGUGCCGCCCAAAUAUCCAUUGGAAUUUGCCCUAAUUUACACACUUCAGAGAAUAGGCGAAUCGAUCUGCACACCAUGAAGCCGCCGGCGAUUCGAUCCGCAGACUGUGAAUCAGCGUCGCUUUUCUUCUGGUUCAGGGGGACAAAUUUAAUUUUCUGAAGCAUAAAAGAGAAAGAAGGUGUUAGCUUCAAGAACCAUGUCAUACAGGCCUUUGAUUCCUUCUUAUAUUCAGAUAUGUAAAACUAGCAGAGGAAAGAGCUAAAGAAUGAUAAAAUGCAAGCCUAAGGAUAAUGAUCAACUUCCUGAAGUUUUGUGAGUUGCACUGCAAGUAUAUACCGACUUUCUCAUGAGUGUUUUGGAAAUACUGAAUGCAAUACUGAUAAACGUGUUGUCAAGGAACCGAAAGAAUAAUAUUUAAGGAACAAAUGAAGGGCUAUCUUCAAAAGAUGGAAGUGCUUCCGUGGAUUAAUUUGUGGCUGUGACAAACAAAGAGCAUACGGACACCGUUGACUUUAUGGUAGAGGCGUUAUUAACAAAUCGAUAAAAAAAGUGGAUGGUUGUGAUAUACCUACCAUACAUGAUUCCAAGGGACUUAUGGAAUCACUCAAAGCUAGUGUCGAAGUUAAAACAAUUAUUUGCAUGAAAUGCGAAAAGAUAUUAAAGAGGAUCGUGAAAGGAAAAAACGCCGAGCAUGAAAUGCGAAAAGAUAUUAAAGAGGAUCGUGAAAGGAAAAAACGCCAAGUUAGAAGCCACAUGGAAAUAUAAUUGACAACCCAUAAGAAAACACUCAAGCAACUACCUUUUAGAGGUGGAGAGUUUUGAACAUGUGUAGAAGGUUUUUGUUACUCUUAAUUAAUUGUAAUUGACAACUUUGUGUUGAAUACAUUAUUUUGAGUUUGAACAUAUAUGUUAAAGUACAUAAAGAUUCUUUAUAA